GUGCCAGCAGCCGCGGUAAUACGAAGGGGGCUAGCGUUGUUCGGAAUCACUGGGCGUAAAGGGCGCGUAGGCGGCUUUGUAAGUCGGGGGUGAAAGCCUGUGGCUCAACCACAGAAUUGCCUUCGAUACUGCAUGGCCUUGAGACCGGAAGAGGUAAGUGGAACUGCGAGUGUAGAGGUGAAAUUCGUAGAUUUCGCAAGAACACCAGUGGCGAAGGCGGCUUACUGGUCCGGUUCUGACGCUGAGGCGCGAAAGCGUUGGGGAGCAAAACAGGAUUAGAUACCCUGGUUAUGUCC
RNAcentral lists this ribosomal RNA (296 nucleotides) under uncultured microorganism. RNAcentral's name for it is "partial 16S ribosomal RNA". It matches the Rfam family "Bacterial small subunit ribosomal RNA", at positions 505 to 796 of the family's 1533-position model. The record is from RNAcentral.